Molecule: ribosomal RNA, 440 nt
Filed under: uncultured bacterium
Lineage: Bacteria
Description: partial 16S ribosomal RNA
Rfam family: Bacterial small subunit ribosomal RNA
Source: RNAcentral
CCUACGGGGGGCAGCAGUGGGGAAUAUUGCACAAUGGGGGGAACCCUGAUGCAGCGACGCCGCGUGAGUGAAGAAGUAUUUCGGUAUGUAAAGCUCUAUCAGCAGGGAAGAAAAUGACGGUACCUGACUAAGAAGCCCCGGCUAACUACGUGCCAGCAGCCGCGGUAAUACGUAGGGGGCAAGCGUUAUCCGGAUUUACUGGGUGUAAAGGGAGCGUAGACGGUUAUGCAAGUCUGAAGUGAAAGCCCAAGGCUCAACCAUGGGACUGCUUUGGAAACUGGAAAACUGGAGUGCAGGAGAGGUAAGCGGAAUUCCUAGUGUAGCGGUGAAAUGCAUAGAUAUCACACAGAACACCGAUUGCGAAGGCAUCUCACGAAUCCGCGAUUGACGCUGAUGCACGAAAGCGUGGGUAUCAAACAGGAUUAGAUACCCUAGUAGUC